This 460-nucleotide ribosomal RNA is filed under the name uncultured bacterium. RNAcentral's name for it is "partial 16S ribosomal RNA". It matches the Rfam family "Bacterial small subunit ribosomal RNA", at positions 338 to 795 of the family's 1533-position model. The record is from RNAcentral.
CCUACGGGUGGCAGCAGUGAGGAAUAUUGGUCAAUGGGCGCGAGCCUGAACCAGCCAAGUAGCGUGAAUGAUGACUGCCCUACGGGUUGUAAACUUCUUUUAUAAGGGAAUAAAGUGAGGUACGUGUGCCUUUUUGUAUGUACUUUAUGAAUAAGGAUCGGCUAACUCCGUGCCAGCAGCCGCGGUAAUACGGAGGGUCCGAGCGUUAUCCGGAUUUAUUGGGUUUAAAGGGAGCGUAGAUGGGUUGUUAAGUCCGUUGUGAAAGUUUGCGGCUCAACCGUAAAAUUGCAAUUGAUACUGGCAGACUUGAGUACAGUUGAGGUAGGCGGAAUUCGUGGUGUAGCGGUGAAAUGCUUAGAUAUUACGAAGAACUCCGAUUGCGAAGGCAGCCUACUAAACUGCCACUGACAUUGAUGCUCGAAAGUGUGGGUAUCAAACAGGAUUAGAUACCCGAGUAGUC